AGAGGGGAGGCUGUGUAGAGAAUACUAUGUUGCUGGUGUAAUAGAGGUGGAGGCUGUGUAGAGAAUACUAUGUUGCUGGUGUAAUAGAGGUGGAGGCUGUGUAGAGAAUACUAUGUUGCUGGUGUAAUAGAGGGAGAGGCUGUGUAGAGAAUACUAUGUUGCUGGUGUAAUAGAGGUGGAGGCUGUGUAGAGAAUACUAUGUUGCUGGUGUAAUAUAGGUGGAGGCUGUGUAGAGAAUACUAUGUGGCUGGUGUCAGAGAGGGAGGUAACUCUGCACAGACAAUUGUUGCACCUCAAAUGAUGUGGCCACUUGUUGCUCUGAUAACUGCAAGAGCGUGCAUGCAGA
Haliotis rubra (blacklip abalone) is the source of this 346-nucleotide long non-coding RNA. RefSeq lists it as uncharacterized. The transcript has 3 exons. The record is from RefSeq and is a predicted model, not a curated record. NCBI's taxonomy places the organism in Eukaryota, Metazoa, Mollusca, Gastropoda, Lepetellida, Haliotidae.